RNAcentral lists this ribosomal RNA (500 nucleotides) under uncultured Glomeromycotina. RNAcentral's name for it is "partial small subunit ribosomal RNA". It matches the Rfam family "Eukaryotic small subunit ribosomal RNA", at positions 591 to 1092 of the family's 1831-position model. The record is from RNAcentral. Lineage: Eukaryota; Fungi; Glomeromycota.
CCAAUAGCGUAUAUUAAAGUUGUUGCAGUUAAAAAGCUCGUAGUUGAAUUUCGGGAUCAAUAUGUUGGUCGUGCCUUUGGUACGUACUAGUUUAUUGGUUUCUUCCUUCUGACGCACCAUGAUGUCAUUAAUUUGGUGUCAUGGGGAAUCAGGACUGUUACUUUGAAAAAAUUAGAGUGUUUAAAGCAGGCUUCACGCUUGAAUACAUUAGCAUGGAAUAAUGAAAUAUGACGUUUGAUUCUAUUUUGUUGGUUUCUAGGAUCGACGUAAUGAUUAAUAGGGAUAGUUGGGGGCAUUAGUAUUCAAUUGUCAGAGGUGAAAUUCUUGGAUUUAUUGAAGACUAACUACUGCGAAAGCAUUUGCCAAGGAUGUUUUCAUUAAUCAAGAACGAAAGUUAGGGGAUCGAAGACGAUCAGAUACCGUCGUAGUCUUAACCAUAAACUAUGCCGACUAGGGAUCGGAUGAUGUUAAUUUUUUAAUGACUCAUUCGGUGCCUUACG